RNAcentral lists this long non-coding RNA (200 nucleotides) under Capra hircus (goat). RNAcentral describes it as "lncRNA (ENSCHIG00000001284.1)". The record is from RNAcentral. Lineage: Eukaryota; Metazoa; Chordata; Mammalia; Artiodactyla; Bovidae.
CACUGAAAGAAGUCACCAGCAUAGAUGACACCAGUAACUCUUCUUGCCUGUUCACUCGAUGCCAGCCCUGUAUGCCAGCUGCAGUACUGAACUACUGAACUUUUCAAGGCUCUCGCUUCUGACCUCUGACAUACACCUUUACAAUCAGCCCCUGGUCAACUGGGAGCAUCUCUACUGGUGUACUGCUACCUGCCCGGGAC